Molecule: long non-coding RNA, 2116 nt
Organism: Eucalyptus grandis
Lineage: Eukaryota; Viridiplantae; Streptophyta; Magnoliopsida; Myrtales; Myrtaceae
Exons: 10
Source: RefSeq, a predicted model, not a curated record
AAAUGGCGGGAAAAUUGGAUUGGGAUUGAGCCCUAGCAGUAGCAGGGGAAGGCGCAAUCGGAUUCUCCUUCGAGGCGUCGCGCGAAAUCGUCGCUCAGAAGCACAAGGGCCUUCCCGCAUCGAUCGGAGCUCCGGAGCAAAGAUGUGCCAGGCCGAAACCCUAGGGAUCGUCGACGAGAUCGCGGCCCUCGUCUCCGAUAAGCUGCAAGUGGUUUCAUACAAGUGGUUGAGCCGCAAUUUCUUGGUAUCUUCAAAUACUGCAAAGAGGUUACUUCCUCUUUAUCUGGGUGGUUAAAGGACAAUCCGUCAUGUUAGCAUAUCAAACUUGUUUCUGGGCCUAAACCUGCUGAAGCCGGGGAAUAAUUUGAUGGUGAAUGCUCAGUUCAAGUCUAUAGUGUGCAAACUUGCAUUCCGAAGGAUCCAGCUGCACUUUGGAAUGUUGAAUUCGUGCAGGCAGGGAAGCUUUUCGGCCAGGAUGCAACCACCGAGAAUUGUCUGAGAGAUAACAGGUUCUGUGCGGUAGCUAAUCCCUUUGUUAGGCGAAGUGAAGAGAGGGAAUUAUUUGACUUGGGAGCUCCAAAGCUUAAUGGCGCCAGAGUCUCAGGAACAUCAAAUACUGUCCAUCAAAAGGUUAACCCACCACAACCGAGAAAGAUUGAACAGACAAGCCAAAAAAAGUUGGAGCAACCCGUUGAUGUGCCUAAGUAUGCAAAUAGUGAAAUAAAUGGUGCAGGAGUUCAUGAUCAAGCCAGCAAACUGUCUGCAGACAAAGAAAAAGUCACUAACUUCGCUGCGAGUAAAAAGUUGGGUCAGAACGGCAAGAACUCUUCCAUAGCUGGGGGUUCUCUGGCAAAUCUAGUGUUGGCCCAGCAGAAAAUAGCAGCUCUGCUCCAAGUUCUGCUGUUAGUGCAGAAGCUCAAAUCUGUGCACAUGAGGCAGCAGAACUGAACAGCGAUGAUGAGGGUCAGGAUGUCAAUGUUAAGAGACCCUCCAAAACUGAAGGUGGUAGGGAAAGGAGAGUUGUAUUUGAUUUCUUGGAUGAAGAAGAUGAGAAUUAAGAUGCAGUCAAUUCAGCAUCACCUGAUUUUGUAAAAGCCCAUUCUAUCCUUGCUUCAAAAGAGAGUGCCAAAGAGUUAGUUUCUGAGAAGAAGUGCAAGGAAGAUAAAAUGGAAGUUGAUGAAGUAAAAGUGAGAGUGGAGGAACACCACCAGCCACCAGAGGAAGAUGUUUCUGCCAUCAGUAGAGGUGUGAACAUUGGGAUGUUCUCUUUGAAGGGCCAAAAUCAUGGUUCCUCUGAGGAUGUAAAUAAUAAUGUGACAAAUCCUGCAUCAACCUCACCGGAGAGGUGAAAGUCUUGAAGACUAGAACCGAUGAGCAUGGGAGAGAAGUAACCGAAGUGGUCUGGGAGGGUGAGUAAGAAUUGAAGAAAGCAAACUGUACUAUAGUUGGCAAAUCUAAUGAUGACAGGGCUGCUGACACCACGAGCAGAAGCUCAAUAUGGUCAAUGGAGUGCUCUUUACUGGAGGGUGGGCUAAAACCGGAUUUUAUUAUGACACUGUGAAGGCAAUUUUCAAGAAAGUUUUGGUGAAGAAUGAUGCGUGGUUACUUUGGAUAAGAUUUCCGCCAGAUUUGCUUCAGUUGAGUACAGAUUGCCUUGUCAUGCAAAAUCAUCAUGUGAGUUGUAAGACUUUGGUAGCCUGCUGGUUUUAAUUGAGAAUUCUAAGUGGAAUUUGUUUGAUUCCCCCGUUUCCUCUUCCCUUUGUUUUCUCUCAUGUACCUCUUUCUUUUAGUAGAGUGUUGUCAUCGCAGGGACUACAUUCUUAUUUUGAUAUAAGCCAUCUGUUGCACGUGACACGACCAGUGCUGCUAAAGAAUGGUGUCUAGAUCAGUUAGAUCCUGGAGAAGUUAAAAAGAGGAGACAGAGGUCAUGCAACUUUAAUGCAUUGAUUUGGGAAUAUUCAUUUUUGCCAAGAGUUAGUAGAAGAAUUGAUUUGUUUUUUUAUUAGUUUUGAUGGACAAUGGAAUCAUCCGACCCCAGAAGAAUCGAUUUUUUUAUACACCAAAAAAAGGGAAUCAUCAAUAUUUGAACAAAAUAGAAGAUUCCUUCAUUUUGUUA